Molecule: non-coding RNA, 70 nt
Organism: Dipodomys ordii (Ord's kangaroo rat)
Lineage: Eukaryota; Metazoa; Chordata; Mammalia; Rodentia; Heteromyidae
Source: Rfam
GGGGAUGUGACUUAAUGGUAGAGUGCUUGCCUAGCAUGUAUGAAGCCUUAGGUUCAAUUCCUCAGUACCA